GAUCCUGGCUCAGGAUGAACGCUGGCGGCGUGCCUAACACAUGCAAGUCGAACGAGGUAUUUUGAUUGAAGUUUUCGGAUGGAUUUCAAGAUACCGAGUGGCGGACGGUGAAUAACGCGUGGGUAACCUGCCUCAUACAGGGGGAGUAACGGUUAGAAAUAGACUGCUAAUACCGCAUAAGCGCACAGUACCGCAUGGUACGGUGUGAAAACUCCGGUGGUAUGAGAUGGACCCGCGUCUGAUUAG
Molecule: ribosomal RNA, 246 nt
Filed under: uncultured bacterium
Lineage: Bacteria
Description: partial 16S ribosomal RNA
Rfam family: Bacterial small subunit ribosomal RNA
Source: RNAcentral